This 732-nucleotide ribosomal RNA is filed under the name uncultured Corynebacterium sp. RNAcentral's name for it is "bacterial SSU rRNA". It matches the Rfam family "Bacterial small subunit ribosomal RNA", at positions 28 to 776 of the family's 1533-position model. The record is from RNAcentral. Lineage: Bacteria; Bacillati; Actinomycetota; Actinomycetes; Mycobacteriales; Corynebacteriaceae.
GACGAACGCUGGCGGCGUGCUUAACACAUGCAAGUCGAACGGAAAGGCCUCUUCGGAGGUACUCGAGUGGCGAACGGGUGAGUAACACGUGGGUGAUCUGCCCUGCACUCUGGGAUAAGCCUGGGAAACUGGGUCUAAUACCGGAUAGGACCAUGCUUUAGUGUGUGUGGUGGAAAGUUUUUUCGGUGUAGGAUGAGCCCGCGGCCUAUCAGCUUGUUGGUGGGGUAAUGGCCUACCAAGGCGGCGACGGGUAGCCGGACUGAGAGGUUGGUCGGCCACAUUGGGACUGAGAUACGGCCCAGACUCCUACGGGAGGCAGCAGUGGGGAAUAUUGCACAAUGGGCGCAAGCCUGAUGCAGCGACGCCGCGUGGGGGAUGACGGCCUUCGGGUUGUAAACUCCUUUCGCCAGGGACGAAGCGUUUUGUGACGGUACCUGGAGAAGAAGCACCGGCUAACUACGUGCCAGCAGCCGCGGUAAUACGUAGGGUGCAAGCGUUGUCCGGAAUUACUGGGCGUAAAGAGCUCGUAGGUGGUUUGUUACGUCGUCUGUGAAAUUCCACAGCUUAACUGUGGGCGUGCAGGCGAUACGGGCUGACUUGAGUACUGUAGGGGUAACUGGAAUUCCUGGUGUAGCGGUGAAAUGCGCAGAUAUCAGGAGGAACACCGAUGGCGAAGGCAGGUUACUGGGCAGUUACUGACGCUGAGGAGCGAAAGCAUGGGUAGCAAACAGG